AGUAGAGGGCGGGGAUAACGGGGUGGCCACAGGGGUGGGGUGGGUGCUCCCUGUUCCCCGCCUUCCCGGGCGCGAUCGGCGCUCCCCGCGUGACCCGGUCACGUGCUCCGCCUCGCCUCAGUCAGCCAAGUGCGCGCGAACUCUACUCCGCUAUCUGCGCUGGUGUGGCUCCUCGGGCGGGAGGCGGUGUUGGCGCCGCGCUGUGGCCGUGAGGGAGAGCGCCUCGGUGGCCCUCCCCCCACCCCCUGCCGCAGGUGCCCCCUCACGCCGUUCCUCCCCGCCCUUCUAAGGGACGAAAAGCGGUUUCCUCGCCGUCUCUCGGCCGCGUUCUUUCGUACACUGUUGCCCUAUUUUCCUUCAGUUUUAUUUGAGGUAAAACCCAGCUCCAGGGCAGCUCUCUCUGCUGCGGUACCGACUCAGAUGAAAGCUACUUUAGGUUGGUAGUGUUCUGAUUUACACCUUCUGGAGUGGUUGUAGGUUGUCUUCUUUUUGUUUUGUUCUUUUUUUGGGGGGGAGGUGGCUUGUUUGCUUCCAGCAUAACUUAGGUAACAUAAAGCUUACAGAGCUUUAUUCAGGUGCUGCCCCCAGUUUACGACAGCGAACUCAAAGGCACAAGUCCCUGCAGCCCUCACAGCUUUGUGUGGUUUUCAGUUUUAACGAGAAGGCUCUUCAUUCCGUCGCCUAGGUCAUAUCUGGCAACUUCAUAAAAUUUGGACAACAAAACUGCUUUCUAUUUAUUGAUAACUUCUCUGCUUUGGUCCAGGUUCUGUUUUUGGGGAAAUCAACUAUAUAACAUGAAUGACAGAAGGCAUCAGUCUCUAUUCUUUGCCAGUCUGCCAGAGCUGCAGAAACUCUGUGCCGCUACAAUAACACUGAGCCCCCAGUUACCAGAAAGUGAGAUGAGAAGCACACAGAUAAAAGUCUGCAGACAGCUAGUAUUCCUGUAUCGAGAUGUCCUUUCUGCACCUGUUAUUGGAACACUAAAUCAAAUUUCAGUUGUAAUGGCGAUACCAUUUUAUAAAUCAGGAUUAUGCAAAGCAUAUGUGGAGAGACAAGGAGCUACUUUGGAAGCACCACAAAGAGUGAAUCCAGCCAUUCUCCAAACUUGCCUCUCCUACACACUAACAGCCAGACUCGCACCUAUGUGGAACAAGGCUGGUCAUCUCCUGGUGCAAGGAAAAGACUUCUUGUCUCAAACGGGAAAGCAAAAUGCGGUUGUUCUAGAUGUCAAUGUGUCAGAGACACAGCUUUGCAUCAUUGUGGAGGCUUGCUCAGUUCGGUUACCACCCCCCGAGCUGGGAGAUUUUGAUAUUUCGGCCAACACCAUAAAGCUGUUUGACAGCAAUGAAAACACAGUUAUUGACAGACAUUCCAUAUUAGCUAACUGGUGCUAUGUCUUGCCAAGCAUGAAAAUGGGUCAGAUCAUAAACAUCAGCCAUAUAAUUCCUCCAGAAUCUCCUUUCCAUUCUUAUGAAGAAUUUCAGAUGCACUGGAAGAAUCUGUAUGGAUAUAUUCUUCCAGAGAAUAUUGAGGGGAGAGAAAUAUACUUGAGUGUUUACUUCAAGCCAAUAGGGGAAAGGUUAUUUACGUACCCUCUAAGAUGCAUUCGAAGUCAGCCAGUGCAGUAUUUCCCUAGAACAGAUUCAGAAAGUGUGUUGAAUGCUUUUAUUUCUGAUGUGAAGGCUAAGUUUACACAUCUAUGUGGAUUUCCAGUAAGGAUGACAAGUAAAGCACUGUAUGCUACACAAGAACUCUCCAGGACUCCAGCAUGUGAAGUACAGACUGAGUCUAUGAAAUUGGCUGGUGAGAUGGUUUGUGUCGUAUCGCUGACCCAGACACCUCCAAGGAAACAGACUUCGGCUAGCAUUUCUUCCUCAUGCAGUACGGAGAACAGCCACUGGAUGGAGCAUUUGAUCAAAGAGCCAAAACCUCACACUUUUUCAAGUAGCAAUGAAAGUGCAAAAAAUAUUAGCGUUGAAACAACUGAGAACUUAAUCAAUAGGCAAAUACCAGGACUAUCAGAGCUACCACCUCGGAAGUCCUUAGGAAUGCCUGGAAGCUCAGCCUUUGAACUCUCUCCAAAAAAGAUUAGCAAAAUUAUACCAAUUUUCAAAGGAAGGUUGAUGCAGAUGAAUGGAAACACCACAAAUCAAACUGAUGGGAAGAAAAGAAAAAGUGUUGAAAGACAAUCGCCAGUAAAAAGUGUUAAAUCUUCAAUGUUGACUGUUUGCAAGUCCAGCUUAACUCAGCUUUAUAAACCUGCUACUCACAGCAGCUUACUUCAGAUAAUUACUGAGAAAGCAUACGUAAAACAAGAUGUAUCUGUAUUUCAAUGGAAAACAGAGUCUGGUGAACAAAUGAUUAAUUCUGAUUCUUCCAGUAACUCAGCUGCAGGUUGGAGUUCAAGUGAAGUCAGUCACAAUAAGGCAAGUUCUCCUUUCUUGCGUAAGAAUGCUAGGCCAGUGCUUCAGAAAUCUGACAUCAGUCCAAAACUAAAUACAUACGCAUCUUCCACUUCCAGUUCAAGAGGAGGAAAAAAAUUUGCAAGUCAAAAUACCACACAAGCUCUUGGAAAACAACACCAGUCAAAUAAAGUACAUUUGCAGAUUUGUAAAUUAGAGAACGGAAUGACAAAUUCCAGUUUAUCACAGCAACGAACAAAGGAAUCAAAUGAAGGACGAGGGUUAAAUAUUCAUGAAUCCAUCUUAAAUGAUACAGUGUGCAUUGCCAAAAAUGAUGAAAGCAAACCAUCCUGCCGUUCUAAGGAUUGCAUUGCUAAGACAACCUGUCUUCAUUCCAACUCUGUCUGUGAACAGAUGUUUACAGGGAACAAAUAUCUGACAUGUGAUGAAACAAUGACCUCAAAACUGACUCAUUCAAUGAAGGAGAGCAACACGGAAGCAUCUGGAAAGAAAGGCUGUGCCAGAAAAAGACAGAAAGAAGAAGGUUACUCAAAGUUAAAGAAAGUCAGAAGAAGUAAGCUUCCUAUUUAGGAUGUAAUGGAAUACUGAAGAAAAUUCUGGGCUUCCAAGAGGCCAUUAACGUACUUGAGGAUCUCUGAGCUUUGUGAUCUUUACUCUGUUUAUUUCAUGUCACUGCUACCUGUUUCUGGAUGAAAAAUUGAAGGUUAAAUACAUACAGUCAAGUGAAUCCAUAUGUCACCUUCUACACCAGACAGUUUAGUUUAAUAAUCCUCAAAUGGUUUUGGAAGUUCGGCUAAUUGUUUGGAAUUCUUUAAUCACAUGAUGUCUAUCCUAGCACUUGCUUACAUGCUUGAUCGCUGUUCCAAGCUGUUUUGAAGUUUCGAGUCUACGUUUUAUGACAUAAUUAUAUUUAAUGACGCAGUUAUUUGCUAUAAUAUCUGCAUCUCUUUGUUUUACCAGUGAAACAUUCCUAAAUAACUUCUCCUUGUCAAAUAGUUAGAAACUAAACACUGCAGUUUUUCUUAGUUGGGGAAUGAUCUUAAGACUGGAUUUGAUUACAGCUUCUUUAGCUCCUGUUAGAUUUUUUAGUGCAUUUCCCUUCUCACAGAUAAAACCAUUGAAUGUAAAGGGUUUUUAAAUUCCAAUUCACAACACCAUUCUUGAGCAAUUCGUGCAGAAUACAUAUUGCUGCCAUUUUAGUAAUUUUAUCAAAUUAAAUGGAUUUAUAAAUUUACGUAUAAAUUAUUCUGGUCCCAUUAUGUUGUUUGUAAGUGAAUAUUAUUGCGUUACAUGGAAAUUAAGAAGCAAAAGCCAAUUUCUAAACUCAAACAAUAUAAAACUGUAGUAUAACAUUGGCUUUGUUAAUACAUUGCCAAAACCUUUUCUUUCCUAAAGGAAUUGGUAUGGUGAGACUUCACGUGCUUUAUGAAAACUUUUUAUAUUGCCAUAGUUGUGUUUUUAUUUGCCUCGUGUUUCAGGUUAGGAUUUUUCCCUACUACAAUGACAAGUUUUGUUGUCGUUAUUUAUUUCAAAUGGAAAACGUUAGCAUAGCUCUCUCAUUUAAUGGUGCCAGCAUUUAAAAGUGAACACUUCAGUGACUUGUAAAUUUAUUGCAUACGAUAUUAAAAAAACCUAAAUAACACAAAUAACACAAAAAAAGAGCAAUACACUCAUCAUAUUUACAUUGUUUGGAAACUGGUAUACAAAACCACUUUUCAAAUGCCAUGGAUUAGUUAUUCUUUCAUAGGUUUGUCUAGAUGUAAUCUAUCUUUUUCAAUAAUUUUUCCACAAUAUGGAAAAGCUCAUGGAACAGUUGCCUUUAUGCUCUGCUAUAUAAACUUGUGCUUCAUCUGGUCUGUCUCCUAUAGCUGCCAUUUAACUGCUGUCUGUUGCCAGCAUUUGCCUGGUAUCUCCUUAUUAAUGGAAUUCAUUCUGCAUCGUUCUUGUGUUUUAAAAUGUUUGCAUCACUUUGUGUUAUAUAUUAUAAUACUCUAAAUAGUGAAAAUACAAUUAUUGUAGAUCCAAUUUGUUCCACUUCAAAUAAACUACUGAAUAAUUCACAUGUCCUAAAUGGCCAAAUCCUUUCUAGUCUGUGCUGUGGGUGGGAACCUGUUAUUCUAACCCUCCCAAUCCUCCUAAAUGUGCAUCAGCACACUUGAUACAGAGAGGAAAUGCGCUGGGUGCAGGAGUGGUGGUGGAAAUGCCACCGAUGGGGAGGCAGGGUUAGUGCAGGGGCUGCCUUUGCAGGGGUUUAUUGAUGCUGAAGGGAUCUUUGCUGCUACCUUUUGCUGUAUGCAGAGCAGUGUUAAGAGCUUGUCUCAGUUCCUCCUGUAAUGAGUUCUCACUAUUUGGGCAGUGCCCUCGCUGCCUGGAGUCACCUGGGGCCUCUGCGAGCGAUGUCUGCAGGAUGGAUUUCUCAGGGGGAAAGGAACAGACAGACUCACCCACCUGCUCCCAAAAUACCCUGAUGUGCAUCAGUAACAGGUGGAAAUGUAACAGGUUAAAGAAAUCCCCAGGUGUCAGAAACUGGUCAGAGGUUAAAAGGCAGAAGAUAUUGCCCACCCUUCAAUGGCUACUGGGUUUUAUCAUUUUGUAUGUCUCUUUCAUCGGUUUUUCUCUGUCUAAGUCAACUCAGACUAACAUUUGACAAAGCUGUCUGCAGUAUUGAAGGAUUCAGAGGACUACAGCUGAACUGUUUGUACUGAGUUUACAUUAUUUAGUAAAUAUGCACUUCCAGAGAGCAAUCUGGUGCAUUAUGCAUAUUUUCAUAAGUUGACAGUGUUCUUCUCUUCCACAGAUGUAACAGAUGUAAGCCGAAGGGACUUCUUACAUUCUUUAAACUGGCCUGUGCUCAAGUUCCAUGUCAAAUCUGAACUUAGAAGAUUACAAAUUAUUUAGACAGGGAAGCUUGUUAUUUAGUUCCUUUGGUGCAGGGUUUGUACCAGCUUGUGUUAAUAGCUGGUUUUAAAACAGUCAGGUUGAAGCCCUCUCUCUCUGUAUCACAGAGUAGUGGAGUGAAUGGGGUAAUUCAAGGACUUUGGGCCGUGUGCUGAUCAGCAUGCUGGUCCUCACGUCGUGGAGAACCAUGAAGAAUUUCAUGGCAUCUCUCCUCUUUGUUCAGGAAAACGACGUGUUGCAGCUGUGAAAAAGAUUCACUGUUCUAUCUUGUUGCUAGUCUGCAGAAUACAGAGCAGCGGCUCAACCUCUCACCUAAAAAUUUGCAGCCAGGAUGAGCAAAUGUGUUUUCCCUGGGAGCUGCACAGAACUGGAUGCAAACCCUGAGCAGCUUAAUCCCCCCAGGGCAGCAUUAGAUUCCAGGACAAAGCAGCCUUACUUUGCUGGAAAAUAUGUGCAAAUUGUUCCCAAUUCUAUCAGGAACACACAGCUUCUUGCAAUGAUCUUACUGUUUUUCAAAAGAGUGACAAAUUUAUUUUUAGGCUCUAUGUAAAAAAGAUUUAAGCUCACUCCAGUGAGAGAAACUGAAAAGUAUUGGAAGCUGAUGCAUCUGACCCUCUUGCAGAAUGGGUCUCAUUGUCGCAUAAUACCUUUGACAAACAGACAGUGUGAGAGCAGCCCAGCUCAGCUGGCUUCAACUGCAUAUCAGAGUAUGAGUUUAAUUAAAUACUAUUAAACUAUCAGAAGUGGCCAUCUAGGUAGAAGUGCCUAAGUUGAACUUUCCUGUAACUAACCAGAAAGCACAUGCUAGCCCAGUGAAAUGCAUUUUCCUUAAUUACACACGAUGUUGCAGCACAGAUUUAAGCAAGAGCAAAGAUCAGCCUUACAGAGCUGCUGCCCACCAGUCUCAGCUCAGCUCACUCCAGCAGAAUUGGCUCAAGCUGCUCACAUGCCCCAGUGCCUUCCAGAAUGAAAGAAAGUUAUCCCACGGGGAGAUGCUAGCAGAAGGAGCCUGUCCCUACACAGUCAAAAAGAUGCAGAUACCUAUUUAACUUUUUGUGUUACAUUUUGGAUUCUACUAUGCAGCAAUGAUAUUUCAGGUUGGAUAUUAGGAAAAAUUUCUUCUCCGAAAAGUGGUCAGGUGCUGGCACAGGCUGCUCAGGGAGGUGGUUGAGUCACUGUCCCUGGAGGUGUUCGAGAAACCUGUAGAUGUAGCACUAAGGGAUAUGGGUUAGUGUGGAAAUAUCAGAGGUAGGUGGAUGGUUGGACUGGAUGACCUUGGUGGACUUUUUCAAUGUUGGUGAUUCUAUGAUUCUAUGUUCUCAUUGUGAGCGGAGCUACACAGCUGUGGGAUACUUCAGAGGAGGAACAUGAAGCAAAAUUCAGCCUCUGCUGAAGAGCAGGAAAAGGAUUUUGUAAUUUGGAAAGAGUAACAAUGAAAUCAGGAUUCUGCCCAUCAGUGAAAAUGAAUGCGUCCAGUAAUGGAAAAUGCAUGGCUCCCCGUCCCUGGGCACUGAGCCAGCGCACUGUGGUAUAAGCAUACAUCUUCAUUAAUUCUCAUUUAGAGAAGAAUCGAUUGAUGCUAGCAGUGUAAACUCAAGGAGUGUAAACCACGCUUCAGAUGUAAAGGACAAAAAAAAAAAAACACGUGAGUUUCAGGAUUUCAGCCUUACCGUUAGCACUAGGUAUGCUUGCAUUCACUAGCUAUUGAAAUGCCCGUGUCCGGUU
This is an RNA transcript of Numida meleagris (helmeted guineafowl), 7046 nucleotides long. It is a transcript of the gene named chromosome 2 C18orf63 homolog, with no coding region annotated. The record is from RefSeq and is a predicted model, not a curated record. NCBI's taxonomy places the organism in Eukaryota, Metazoa, Chordata, Aves, Galliformes, Numididae. The transcript has 17 exons.